AGGACGAACGCUGGCGGCGUGCCUAACACAUGCAAGUCGAGCGGGGACAUGGAAGUAGCAAUACGGAAAUGUCUAGCGGCGGACGGGUGAGUAACGCGUGAGCAACCUGUCCCAGUCAGGGGGAUAACGAGCCGAAAGGCUCCCUAAUACCGCAUGAGACCACAGCAUCACAUGGUGCAGGGGUCAAAGGAGAGAUCCGGACUGGGGUGGGCUCGCGUCUGAUUAGCUAGUUGGUGAGGUAAAGGCCCACCAAGGCGACGAUCAGUAGCCGACCUGAGAGGGUGAUCGGCCACAUUGGAACUGAGACACGGUCCAAACUCCUACGGGAGGCAGCAGUGGGGAAUAUUGGGCAAUGGGGGAAACCCUGAACCCCAGCAACGCCGCGUGAAGGAAGAAGGUCUUCGGAUCGUAAACUUCUAUCCUUGGUGAAGAUAAUGACGGUAGCCGAGAAGGAAGCCCCGGCUAACUACGUGCCAGCAGCUGC
This 484-nucleotide ribosomal RNA is filed under the name uncultured bacterium. RNAcentral's name for it is "bacterial SSU rRNA". It matches the Rfam family "Bacterial small subunit ribosomal RNA", at positions 26 to 518 of the family's 1533-position model. The record is from RNAcentral.